This 218-nucleotide ribosomal RNA is filed under the name uncultured bacterium. Its description in RNAcentral is "partial 16S ribosomal RNA". It matches the Rfam family "Bacterial small subunit ribosomal RNA", at positions 524 to 742 of the family's 1533-position model. The record is from RNAcentral.
UACGUAGGGUGCAAGCGUUAAUCGGAAUUACUGGGCGUAAAGCGUGCGCAGGCGGCUUUGCAAGACAGAUGUGAAAUCCCCGGGCUUAACCUGGGAACUGCAUUUGUGACUGCAUGGCUAGAGUACGGUAGGAGGGGGAUGGAAUUCCGCGUGUAGCAGUGAAAUGCGUAGAUAUGCGGAGGAACACCGAUGGCGAAGGCAAUCCCCCUGGGCACCUG